UAGGGAAUCUUCCACAAUGGACGCAAGUCUGAUGGAGCAACGCCGCGUGAGUGAAGAAGGUUUUCGGACCGUAAAGCUCUGUUGUUGGUGAAGAAGGAUAGAGGUAGUAACUGGCCUUUAUUUGACGGUAAUCAACCAGAAAGUCACGGCUAACUACGUGCCAGCAGCCGCGGUAAUACGUAGGUGGCAAGCGUUGUCCGGAUUUAUUGGGCGUAAAGCGAGCGCAGGCGGAAGAAUAAGUCUGAUGUGAAAGCCCUCGGCUUAACCGAGGAAUUGCAUCGGAAACUGUUUUCUUGAGUGCAGAAGAGGAGAGUAGAACUCCAUGUGUAGCGGUGGAAUGCGUAGAUAUAUGGAAGAAUACCAGUGGCGAAGGCGGCUCUCUGGUCUGCAAACUGACGCUGAGGCUCGAAAGCAUGGGUAGCGAACAGGAUUAGAUACCCUGGUAGUCCAUGCCGUAAACGAUGAGUGCUAAGUGUUGGAGAUGCCCUU
This 489-nucleotide ribosomal RNA is filed under the name uncultured bacterium. Its description in RNAcentral is "partial 16S ribosomal RNA". It matches the Rfam family "Bacterial small subunit ribosomal RNA", at positions 355 to 836 of the family's 1533-position model. The record is from RNAcentral.